This 368-nucleotide long non-coding RNA is filed under the name Physcomitrium patens. RNAcentral describes it as "long non-coding RNA (PPAT_LNC014048)". The record is from RNAcentral. Lineage: Eukaryota; Viridiplantae; Streptophyta; Bryopsida; Funariales; Funariaceae.
CAAAUCCUAGGUCAACUCUAAUUGAAACCUUAAUUGAAUUUAACAAAAUCUUAUGUCAAAUCUUAAUGAAAUACUAAUAAAAUUUUAAACCCUAGACAAGUUCUAAAUUAAAUCCAAAAAAAAAUUCAAUCCUAACCAAAUCCUAGACCAAAUCCUAAACUCUAAUCAAACCAUAAAUAAAUCUUAAAUCAAAUCCUAUAGCAAAUUGAAACGUCAACGACUAAUGAUCAAAUUGUUGAUAUUAACUCAAAAUUUUUAUACUUCUUAAUAGUUUAGUUAGGAAUAAGUACAAGAAAAAUGAAAUAAAUUACACUUACUAAUUAAGAGAAAAAUAAGAUAAACUAAUCAGGCAUUAGGCGGUCUCCUAC